RNAcentral lists this ribosomal RNA (492 nucleotides) under uncultured bacterium. Its description in RNAcentral is "partial 16S ribosomal RNA". It matches the Rfam family "Bacterial small subunit ribosomal RNA", at positions 29 to 507 of the family's 1533-position model. The record is from RNAcentral.
AGUGAACGCUGGCGGCAUGCCUAACACAUGCAAGUCGAACGGCAGCACAGUAAGAGCGUGCCUCUACGGGUGGCGAGGGGCGGACGGGUGAGGAAUACAUCGGCAUCUACUUUUUCGGGGGGGAUAACGUAGGAAAAGUGACGCUAAUACCGAAUACAUCCAACGGGUUAAAUCAGUGGAGCAUCGGACCUUGCCCGACUCAUAUAGCCGGAGCCGGGUUAGCUAGUUGGCGGGGUAAGGUCCCACCAAGGCAACGAUACGUAGCUGGUCUGAGAGGAUGAUCAGCCACACUGGAACUGAGACACGGUCCAGACUCCUACGGGAGGCAGCAGUGGGGAAUAUUGGGCAAUGGGCGCAAGCCUGAUCCAGCCAUACCGCGUGGGUGAAGAAGGCCUUCGGGUUGUAAAGCCCUUUUAUUGGGGAAGAAAAGCAGCAGGUUAAUCCCCCGCUGUUCUGACGGUACCCAAAGAAUAAGCCCCGGCUAACUUCGUG